RNAcentral lists this ribosomal RNA (214 nucleotides) under uncultured bacterium. RNAcentral's name for it is "partial 16S ribosomal RNA". It matches the Rfam family "Bacterial small subunit ribosomal RNA", at positions 118 to 351 of the family's 1533-position model. The record is from RNAcentral.
UGGGAACGUACCUUCGGUUCGGAACAACCCAGGGAAACUUGGGCUAAUACCGAAUACGUCCGUAAGGAGAAAGAUUUAUCGCCGAAGGAUCGGCCCGCGUCUGAUUAGCUAGUUGGUGGGUAAUGGCCCACCAAGGCGACGAUCAGUAGCUGGUCUGAGAGGAUGAUCAGCCACACUGGGACUGAGACACGGCCCAGACUCCUACGGGAGGCAG